UUUAAGGGCGUACGGUGGAUGCCUUGACUAAAAGUAGCGAUGAAGGACGUGGCGUAGCUGCGAUAAGCUUCGGGGAGGUGUGUAGCAACCUUUGAUCCGGAGAUUUCCGAAUGGGGAAACCCUGUCUCGCAAACCGAGACAAUCCCUCACCAAUUUUGUAUUUUAGAAAUUUUCUAGAGUCCAAAAUUGGUGAGGGACGCGCACCCUGGGAAGUGAAACAUCUCAGUACCAGGAGGAAAAGAAAAAAACUUGCCCGCCUUUGGCGGGUAAAUAUUUCCUUAGUAGCGGCGAGCGAAAAGGAAGAAGCCCAAACCCCUCACCACUUUUAUAUUUUUGCAAAGAAUUUUAAAAUUAAAAAAUUUGAAGAAAUUUUUUAGCUCAAAAAUUCAAAAGCAAAAAUAUAAAAGUGGUGAGGGGGGUUGUAAGAUGACAAUGUUUAUUUAAUUAGAGAGGAGUCAAAAAAUAAGUUAUUAGCUUAAGUUGCUGGAAAGCGACACCAUAGGAGGUGAUAGUCCCGUGAGCGAAAAUAAUUUAUCUCUUUUAUUGUUAUUCUUGAGUACCCCAGGACACGAAUGGCCGGGGGGAAUCCGGGAGAACUAAAUCCCAAGGCUAAAUAUACUUUUAGAUCGAUAGUGAACUAGUACCGUGAG
This 650-nucleotide ribosomal RNA is filed under the name Candidatus Nomurabacteria bacterium RIFCSPHIGHO2_12_FULL_44_22b. Its description in RNAcentral is "partial 23S ribosomal RNA". It matches the Rfam family "Bacterial large subunit ribosomal RNA", at positions 1 to 507 of the family's 2925-position model. The record is from RNAcentral. Lineage: Bacteria; Candidatus Nomuraibacteriota.